Molecule: ribosomal RNA, 111 nt
Filed under: Thermoplasmata archaeon
Lineage: Archaea; Methanobacteriati; Thermoplasmatota; Thermoplasmata
Source: RNAcentral
AAAGCUGCGGUGUUCACCCGGUCCCAUCCCGAACCCGGUAGUUAAGCCCGCACACGUAUCCGGUUGUACUGUGGUGCUCGCGCCCAUGGGAACCCGGAUGAGCUGCUGACC